Molecule: ribosomal RNA, 497 nt
Filed under: uncultured bacterium
Lineage: Bacteria
Description: partial 16S ribosomal RNA
Rfam family: Bacterial small subunit ribosomal RNA
Source: RNAcentral
GACGAACGCUGGCGGCGUGCCUAAUACAUGCAAGUUGAGCGAUGAAGAUUGGUGCUUGCCCCAAUUUGAAGAGCAGCGAACGGGUGAGUAACGCGUGGGGAAUCUGCCUUUGAGCGGGGGACAACAUUGGGAAACGAAUGCUAAUACCGCAUAACAACUUUAAACAUAAGUUUUAAGUUUGAAAGAGGCAAUUGCAUCACUAAAAGAUGAUCCCGCGUUGUAUUAGCUAGUUGGUGAGGUAAAGGCCAACCAAGGCGAGGAUACAUAGCCGACCUGAGAGGGUGAUCGGCCACAUUGGGACUGAGACACGGCCCAAACUCCUACGGGAGGCAGCAGUAGGGAAUCUUCGGCAAUGGACGAAAGUCUGACCGAGCAACGCCGCGUGAGUGAAGAAGGUUUUCGGAUCGUAAAACUCUGUUGGUAGAGAAGAACGUUGGUGAGAGUGGAAAGCUCAUCAAGUGACGGUAACUACCCAGAAAGGGACGGCUAACUACGUG